Molecule: ribosomal RNA, 346 nt
Filed under: uncultured eukaryote
Lineage: Eukaryota
Description: partial 18S ribosomal RNA
Rfam family: Eukaryotic small subunit ribosomal RNA
Source: RNAcentral
AUAGCGUAUAUUAAAGUUGUUGCAGUUAAAAAGCUCGUAGUUGAACUUCAGGCCUUGGCUGGCGGUCCGCCUCACGGCGUGUACUGUCGGCUGGGGCCUUCCCUCUUGGUGAACCCUCAUGCCCUUUAUUGGGUGUGGGGGGGAACCAGGACUUUUACUUUGAAAAAAUUAGAGUGUUCAAAGCAGGCCUAUGCCCGAAUACAUUAGCAUGGAAUAAUAAAAUAGGACGUGCGGUUCUAUUUUGUUGGUUUCUAGGAUCGCCGUAAUGAUUAAUAGGGAUAGUUGGGGGCAUUAGUAUUCAGUUGCUAGAGGUGAAAUUCUUAGACCACAGCAAGACGAACUACUG